This 361-nucleotide unclassified non-coding RNA is filed under the name soil metagenome. RNAcentral describes it as "partial contains 5.8S ribosomal RNA, internal transcribed spacer 2, and large subunit ribosomal RNA". The stretch from base 1 to 120 matches the Rfam family "5.8S ribosomal RNA", at positions 35 to 154 of the family's 154-position model. The record is from RNAcentral.
GAUGAAGAACGUAGCGAAAUGCGAUAAGUAAUGUGAAUUGCAGAAUUCAGUGAAUCAUCGAAUCUUUGAACGCACAUUGCGCCCGCCAGCAUUCUGGCGGGCAUGCCUGUCCGAGCGUCAUUUCAACCCUCAGGGUCCCUCCGCCUCGCGCGGUCGGAGCCUGGUGUUGGGGAUCGGCCCGCCCGCGCGGCGCCGUCCCCCAAAUACAGUGGCGGUCCCGCCGCAGCCUCCCCUGCGCAGUAGUUAUCAACUCGCACUGGAGCGCGGCGCGGCCACGCCGUAAAACCCCCGACUUUUAGAAAGUUGACCUCGGAUCAGGUAGGAAUACCCGCUGAACUUAAGCAUAUCAAUAAGCGGAGGA